Molecule: long non-coding RNA, 220 nt
Organism: Saccostrea echinata
Lineage: Eukaryota; Metazoa; Mollusca; Bivalvia; Ostreida; Ostreidae
Exons: 3
Source: RefSeq, a predicted model, not a curated record
UCAUGAUGAUUAGACAUUUAGAAGUAAUUGCCGUUUUUUGUGUUCAGUCAAUCUGUGGUCAAGACGGUCGAUGUGACGGUCCGCUGAUGUGCUGCCGAGGAUUUAAAUACAUUGAAGAAGAAAAUAAAUGUUUGCCUUGUCAGUAUCCUACAUUUGGAUUAGAAUGCAAAGAAAACUGCACAUGUCCUAAGGAGAAUUGUAACAUGUUCAAGGGAUGUUA